This 468-nucleotide ribosomal RNA is filed under the name uncultured bacterium. RNAcentral describes it as "partial 16S ribosomal RNA". It matches the Rfam family "Bacterial small subunit ribosomal RNA", at positions 28 to 507 of the family's 1533-position model. The record is from RNAcentral.
GACGAACGCUGGCGGCGUGCUUAACACAUGCCAGUCGAACGGAAAGGCCCUGCUUUUGUGGGGUGCUCGAGUGGCGAACGGGUGAGUAACACGUGAGUAACCUGCCCUUGACUUUGGGAUAACUUCAGGAAACUGGGGCUAAUACCGGAUAGGAGCUCCUGCUGCAUGGUGGGGGUUGGAAAGUUUCGGCGGUUGGGGAUGGACUCGCGGCUUAUCAGCUUGUUGGUGGGGUAGUGGCUUACCAAGGCUUUGACGGGUAGCCGGCCUGAGAGGGUGACCGGCCACAUUGGGACUGAGAUACGGCCCAUACUCCUACGGGAGGCAGCAGUGGGGAAUAUUGCACAAUGGGCGGAAGCCUGAUGCAGCAACGCCGCGUGCGGGAUGACGGCCUUCGGGUUGUAAACCGCUUUCGCCUGUGACGAAGCGUGAGUGACGGUAAUGGGUAAAGAAGCACCGGCUAACUACGUG